GUUAUAGGGUCAAGUGAAUAAGUGCAUGUGGUGGAUGCCUUGGCGAUCACAGGCGAUGAAGGACGUUGUAGCCUGCGUUAUGCUGCGGGGAGCUGGCAAACAAGCUUUGAUCCGCAGAUUUCCGAAUGGGGAAACCCACUCCGCAAGGAGUAUCCCACGCUGAAUACAUAGGCGUGAGGAGGCGAACCGAGCGAACUGAAACAUCUAAGUAGCUCGAGGAAAAGAAAUCAACCGAGAUUCCGAAAGUAGUGGCGAGCGAAAUUGGAACAGCCUGUACGUGAUAGUCACGAAGUCAGCAGAACGGUCUGGAAAGCCCGGCCAUAGCAGGUGAUAGCCCUGUAUGUGAAAACUUCGUGGUGGUACUAAGCGUACGAUAAGUAGGGCGGGACACGUGAAAUCCUGUCUGAAGAUGGGGGGACCAUCCUCCAAGGCUAAAUACUCGUGAUCGACCGAUAGUGAACCAGUACCGUGAGGGAAAGGCGAAAAGAACCCCGGGAGGGGAGUGAAAUAGAUCCUGAAACCGCAUGCAUACAAACAGUCGGAGCCUCCUUGAGGGGUGACGGCGUACCUUUUGUAUAAUGGGUCAGCGACUUACGUUUAGUGGCAAGCUUAACCGAAUAGGGGAGGCGCAGGGAAACCGAGUCCGAAUAGGGCGAUCAGUCGCUAGGCGUAGACCCGAAACCAGAUGAUCUAUCCAUGGCCAGGAUGAAGGUAGGGUAACACCUGCUGGAGGUCCGAACCGACUACUGUUGCAAAAGUAGCGGAUGAGCUGUGGAUAGGGGUGAAAGGCUAAACAAAUCUGGAAAUAGCUGGUUCUCCCCGAAAACUAUUUAGGUAGUGCCUCAUGUAUGGCUCCAGGGGGUAGAGCACUGUCAUCAUUGCGGGGGUCAUUGCGAUUUACCGCGUGAUAGCAAACUCCGAAUACCUGGAAGUCUGAGCAUGGGAGACAGUCCUCGGGUGCUAACGUCCGAGGUCGAGAGGGAAACAACCCAGACCGCCAGCUAAGGUCCCCAAGCAUGACUAAGUGGGAAACGAAGUGGGAAGGCUAAAACAGUCAGGAGGUUGGCUUAGAAGCAGCCACCCUUUAAAGAAAGCGUAAUAGCUCACUGAUCGAGUCGUCCUGCGCGGAAGAUGUAACGGGGCUAAGUCAUGCACCGAAGCUGCGGAUUUGCGAAAGCAAGUGGUAGGGGAGCGUUCUGUA
Molecule: ribosomal RNA, 1201 nt
Filed under: Betaproteobacteria bacterium
Lineage: Bacteria; Pseudomonadati; Pseudomonadota; Betaproteobacteria
Description: partial 23S ribosomal RNA
Rfam family: Bacterial large subunit ribosomal RNA
Source: RNAcentral